Molecule: RNA transcript, 973 nt
Organism: Zeugodacus cucurbitae (melon fly)
Lineage: Eukaryota; Metazoa; Arthropoda; Insecta; Diptera; Tephritidae
Gene name: C-type lectin 37Db
Exons: 4
Source: RefSeq, a predicted model, not a curated record
UUUGUGUAUUUAUAAAGAAUUUGCGAUGCACCGUAGUAAAGUAGAGUCAUUCAAGUGAUAUCAUUAACGCUGAAAUGAUGCAUUUUAUACAAAUUUCUUUAAUAUUUCUAAAUACUUUUGCUAUUUCCGUGAGUGGCUCUGACUCUGCUGAAAACGAAAAUGCGGAAAUGUAUAAUCCCUUUAUACAAAUCGGUAGCAAGUACUACUUUAUAAAUGAAUCGUUGAAGAUGAACUGGUUUGCCGCUUCUGAUUAUUGUCGCUCUCAUGGCGGUGAUUUGGCGACUAUUGAAUCGCGUGAAGAGUUACUGGCACUGCAAGAAUACAUUUCACCUAAAGGGGGUAUGGUACAACGAUUUUGGAUUGAUGGCAAUGAUUUGGCAAAUGAAGGAGUCUUUGUGUCGCACACCACUGGACUACCUUUAACCUACACCAACUGGUAUGAAAAUAAUCCAAGUGAUACAAAUGAUGAAGAUUGCGUUGAAGCUUUCAUACAAUUAGGUGGCACAAAACUUCUAAUGAACGACAAUAAAUGUGAAACGAAUUUCCAUGCGAUUUGUCAGUAUCGUGCACCUACCAUGCAAAAGAGCAGGGAAAUUUGUGUGCCCUUGGAUAAAAACGAGCACUGUAUGCUGCGAGACUUAGCUGAGGCAUUAACACAGGCAGCCGAUAUGUUUAAAUCAUGUUCGCAACCCGUGCGGUGUUCAACAUCACCGCGAAGGAGCGUGACUUAUAACAAUUUCCAAUUAAAUAAUUAAAUAAAUGAGCGCCAGAGCGGAUAAUAUGUUCAUCCAAAGUAUGCCAAUUGAUAAACAAUACAAAAUAAAGAUAAAGAUCAACGAUUAGUUCAACGAGUUUAAAACAUCUUAACUGCUCGAGCUUCUUCAGACGAAAACUUAUAAAGAGCUAUAGCUAAGCCAUAUAUAAAGCUAUAAAAGUAAAGUUUAGUACAAAUGAUGGCACACUUCGCCCCUAC